UUUGUUCCCUAAAUAGGGACUUGUAUGAACGGCCACACGAGGGCUUUACUGUCUCUUACUUCCAAUCCGUGAAAUUGACCUUCCCGUGAAGAGGCGGGAAUAUAAUAAUAAGACGAGAAGACCCUAUGGAGCUUUAAUUAACCGACCCAAAGAGACCAUAUGAACCAACCGACAGGAACAACAAACCUCUAUAUGGGCCGGCAAUUUAGGUUGGGGUGACCUCGGAGAAUAAAACAACCUCCGAGUGAUUUAAAUCUAGACUAACCAGUCGAAAGUAUCACAUCACUUAUUGAUCCAAAAACCUUGAUCAACGGAACAAGUUACCCU
Molecule: ribosomal RNA, 327 nt
Filed under: Felis catus (domestic cat)
Lineage: Eukaryota; Metazoa; Chordata; Mammalia; Carnivora; Felidae
Description: partial 16S ribosomal RNA
Rfam family: Bacterial large subunit ribosomal RNA
Source: RNAcentral